Molecule: long non-coding RNA, 228 nt
Filed under: Elaeis guineensis (African oil palm)
Lineage: Eukaryota; Viridiplantae; Streptophyta; Magnoliopsida; Arecales; Arecaceae
Description: long non-coding RNA (EGUI_LNC048147)
Source: RNAcentral
GACAGCAUAGCAUUUUGGUUUGAAAAUAUUUUUGAAUCAAUUUAUCAGCAUUUGAAAAUCUUCUGAGCUUUCCUUUGAAAGGAUUAUCCAUAGAAGUGAUCAACCUAUAGGGUAUGCCACAGCAUCAAUAUUUCAAAUAGUAGAAAAAUAGCAGCACCACAAACAGCAAAAAAAUAACAUAAAUUCAGUAUAUCCAAUGGGGCUCGGCAAUAUCAGUGGCUAUGUAUU